This 163-nucleotide ribosomal RNA is filed under the name Hymenidium nanum. RNAcentral describes it as "5.8S ribosomal RNA". It matches the Rfam family "5.8S ribosomal RNA". Rfam says of the family: 5.8S ribosomal RNA (5.8S rRNA) is a component of the large subunit of the eukaryotic ribosome. It is transcribed by RNA polymerase I as part of the 45S precursor that also contains 18S and 28S rRNA. Functionally, it is thought that 5.8S rRNA may be involved in ribosome translocation. The record is from RNAcentral. Lineage: Eukaryota; Viridiplantae; Streptophyta; Magnoliopsida; Apiales; Apiaceae.
AAACGACUCUCGGCAACGGAUAUCCCGGCUCUCGCAUCGAUGAAGAACGUAGCGAAAUGCGAUACUUGGUGUGAAUUGCAGAAUCCCGUGAACCAUCGAGUCUUUGAACGCAAGUUGCGCCCGAAGUCUCUAGGCUGAGGGCACGUCUGCCUGGGUGUCACGC